This 253-nucleotide ribosomal RNA is filed under the name uncultured bacterium. RNAcentral describes it as "partial 16S ribosomal RNA". It matches the Rfam family "Bacterial small subunit ribosomal RNA", at positions 524 to 776 of the family's 1533-position model. The record is from RNAcentral.
UACGGGGGGGGCAAGCGUUGUUCGGAAUUACUGGGCGUAAAGGGCUCGUAGGCGGCCAACUAAGUCAGUUGUGAAAUCCCCAGGCUCAACCUGGGAACUGCGUCUGAUACUGGUUGGCUUGAAUCCGGGAGAGGGAUGCAGAAUUCCAGGUGUAGCGGUGAAAUGCGUAGAUAUCUGGAGGAAUACCGGUGGCGAAGGCGGCAUCCUGGACCGGCAUUGACGCUGAGGAGCGAAAGCCAGGGGAGCAAACGGG